Molecule: ribosomal RNA, 805 nt
Filed under: Paramixogaster vespiformis
Lineage: Eukaryota; Metazoa; Arthropoda; Insecta; Diptera; Syrphidae
Description: bacterial SSU rRNA
Rfam family: Eukaryotic small subunit ribosomal RNA
Source: RNAcentral
UAUGCCUGUCUCAAAGAUUAAGCCAUGCAUGUCUAAGUACAAACUAAAUAAAAAGUGAAACCGCAAAAGGCUCAUUAUAUCAGUUAUGGUUUAUUAGAUCAUUAUCAGUUACUUGGAUAACUGUGGUAAUUCUAGAGCUAAUACAUGCAAUAUAAACAUGAACCUUUGGGACAUGUGCUCUUAUUAGUUUAAAACCAAGCGAUUUUUUUAAAAUCGUUAUAUAUGGUUGAAUUCUAGAUAAUUUGCCAAUCGUAUGGUCCUAGUACCGAUGAUAGAUCUUUUAAAUGUCUGCCCUAUCAACUAUUGAUGGUAGUAUUUAGGACUACCAUGGUUGCUACGGGUAACGGGGAAUCAGGGUUCGAUUCCGGAGAGGGAGCCUGAGAAACAGCUACCACAUCUAAGGAAGGCAGCAGGCGCGUAAAUUACCCACUCCCAGUUCGGGGAGGUAGUGACGAAAAAUAACAAUACAGGACUCAUAUCCGAGGCCCUGUAAUUGGAAUGAGUACACUUUAAAUCAUUUAACAAGGACCUAUUGGAGGGCAAGUCUGGUGCCAGCAGCUGCGGUAAUACCAGCUCCAAUAGCGUAUAUUAAAGUUGUUGCGGUUAAAACGUUCGUAGUUGAAUUUGUGCUUCAUGCGGGUAGUACAGCUAUAAUCGUAGUUUGUACAUUACCUUAUGCAUGUAAGCGUAUUAUCGGUGGAGUUCUAAUAUAUAAUAGUAAGUAAUUAUUAUUAUAUAUACCUCCUAGUUAAAACCUGCUUCAGUGCUCUUUAUCGAGUGUUGUUGUAGGCCGAUCAAUACUUAC